UUUUCCUUUUCCUUCCAAUGGUUCUAUUGUGUUGGGUGAAAAAGUGAGAAAUUGGAUCCCUUGGCUUCAACAUGUUAUUCUUGAUUUUGCCUCUGAUUUCCAACUAUUGAGGAAGAGUAGUAGAUCUCACUUUAUUCAUCUGUUCAGAGAAGGAUUUCACCAACUCCGUUGCUUCAUGCUCUGUACAGUUCUAAGAUAAAUUUCAAUGUGGAUAUGCCUGCUAUUUGACACAGAUGUGGGCCCGAAUGUUAAACAAGGAAUGACGGUGGAUAUCAAUCGAGAUUUGUCCAGAAAGGGAUCUCAAGUUGGUUUUUUAUGGGGGAAAAAAGCAUGCCAAAAUGGCCUGUCAGAAUUAUUAUUAGAGAAUGGCAUAUGCAGGGAUGGUUGGACACCCAUCCUACAUCAUCUUGGAAAGGUGGAGCUCUCAAAUUUUGGCUUGCUAUCAGUCUGAUAUCUUUCACGAGGGCAUUUGAGAUACAGAGCCCUGUUGAUUUGUUGCUCUCGAUUUCAUCUGGAAAAAUAUAUAUAAUAAUAGAGUUGCCAGCAGGAUGAAUUGAAGAGCCCAUUUGUACAGACUGAAGACCCAGUUUGCCUGGUCUAUAGCAGUAUAAGGAGAGGUCUGUUGGCAAAUUUCAGGUAGAUUAAUUCGCCAUUUAUCAUUAUGCGUGACUUUUUCAGUUUCCAAUAUUCCUCCUUAAUUAAUUCUGUGCAGGAUGGAUGUUCUAUGCAGUAUUCUGCUUCUGCAUUCAACACAGUUUUGAUCUUCAAUGUUGAUAGACAAGUAAGAAGAAUUUGGUGAAGAAAAUAAUUGAUUUGCAAAAGAAGCAGUAGUUUGCAUAUGGUCCCCUAUUUGAUUGAUUUUUUAAAGGUACAUUAGUUGUUUUGCCUGAAUUGUAUUACCAACUGUUUACUGGUUUUGGUUGGAGUUUGUAGACUAGUUCAAAUUCAUACAGUAGGAUAUGAAAUCAUCAGUAUUAAUAGGUAAGUUGAUAAUAUCUACAUGUCCUUUGUUAACUAGCUUCAGUUACAACUACUUUUCAUAAAGCAUUAAUUUAUUUAUUUGGUUUUUGGCAAAUUAAAAAGAAAAAUUAUCACUCUUUUGGCACUGGUUGUAUGUGAUUUGGUGUGGUUCAAUUAACCACUUGGUGCUAACUAGCUAACUAACUAACUGAAGUUUUUCUUUUUCCUUGCAGGUGCAUAAGUGGGAAAAAUGGUGUACAGCAAUAGCAUUGGAUUGGGUUUUUUUUUUAUUUAUUUCAUCCUCGAAUCAUUCUUACGAAAUUGUAUAGCAGGCAGCUAAUUAAUUUUUAUUUUUUGUUCGCCUUCCCCCAAUCCCUUGCAUGCAUAGCAUAGCAUAGCAGCAUUCCACAUUCCUUGUUAAUUUUGUACAUGUCAAGGCUGUUGAUUUUUAUCUAUAAAAAAUAAUCUGUACACUGUUGGCAUGGUGUCAAUAUUUUAGCCAACUUGAUGAUGUUUUAGUAUCUAUUUUUAUAAUGUAUAUGCACAUUUUUUAUAUUUUAAGUUCCUUUUAACAGUUUUUAACCUGAA
This 1548-nucleotide long non-coding RNA is filed under the name Panax ginseng (ginseng). RNAcentral describes it as "long non-coding RNA (PGIN_LNC001228)". The record is from RNAcentral. Lineage: Eukaryota; Viridiplantae; Streptophyta; Magnoliopsida; Apiales; Araliaceae.